CCUACGGGGGACAGCAGUGGGGAAUAUUGCACAAUGGGGGAAACCCUGAUGCAGCGACGCCGCGUGAGUGAAGAAGUACUUCGUUACGUAAAGCUCUAUCAGCAGGGAAGAAAAUGACGGUACCUGAGCAAGACGCCCCUGCUAACUACGUGCCAGCCGCCGCGGUCAUACGUAGGGGGCAAGCGUUAUCCGGAUUUACUGGGUGUAACGGGAGCGUAGACGGUGCGCCAAGUCUGGAGUGAAAUGCCGCAGCUUAACUGCGGAACUGCUAUGGAAACUGGCGAACUGGAGUGCGGGAGGGGUAGGCGGAAUGCCUAGUGUAGCGGUGAAAUGCGUAGAUAUUAGGAGGAACACCGGUGGCGAAGGCGGCUUACUGGACCGUGACUGACGUUGAGGCUCGAAAGCGUGGGGAGCAAACAGGAUUAGAUACCCGGGUAGUC
RNAcentral lists this ribosomal RNA (440 nucleotides) under uncultured bacterium. Its description in RNAcentral is "partial 16S ribosomal RNA". It matches the Rfam family "Bacterial small subunit ribosomal RNA", at positions 338 to 795 of the family's 1533-position model. The record is from RNAcentral.